Molecule: small nuclear RNA, 146 nt
Filed under: Moschus moschiferus (Siberian musk deer)
Lineage: Eukaryota; Metazoa; Chordata; Mammalia; Artiodactyla; Moschidae
Description: U4 spliceosomal RNA (ENSMMSG00000011627.1)
Rfam family: U4 spliceosomal RNA (bases 1-129)
About the family: U4 small nuclear RNA (U4 snRNA) is a component of the major U2-dependent spliceosome. The structure of U4 snRNA from yeast and human has been reported.
Source: RNAcentral
AGCUUUGCGCAGUGGCAGUAUAGUAGCCAGUGAGGUUUAUCUGAGGCGCGAUUAUUGCUGAUUGAAGACUAGAAGCUGUGUCAGAAUUUAGUCUUUUCUAAGGCACAAACCAUUUGAAUCUACAGGAUUUGGAAAGUCUCAAAAAC